RNAcentral lists this ribosomal RNA (459 nucleotides) under Nerita longii. RNAcentral's name for it is "partial 16S large subunit ribosomal RNA". It matches the Rfam family "Bacterial large subunit ribosomal RNA", at positions 1913 to 2597 of the family's 2925-position model. The record is from RNAcentral. Lineage: Eukaryota; Metazoa; Mollusca; Gastropoda; Cycloneritida; Neritidae.
CAGUGAUCACUUUAACGGCCGCGGUACCCUGACCGUGCAAAGGUAGCAUAAUCAUUUGCCUUUUAAUUGGAGGCUAGUAUGAAUGGUCCGACGAGAGUAAAACUGUCUCAUAUAUAUUUAACAGAAACUAACUUAAAGGUGCAAAGGCCUUUAUCCUUUAAAAAGACGAGAAGACCCUGUUGAGCUUUAAUCUUAAAAAGCAUUUUUCUUAUAUUUAUAAAUUUAUUUUGCUAGCUAAAGAUUUUGAUUGGGGCGAUUAAGGAACAACCAUUAGCUUCCUGACUAUAGGUUAAAUCGAUCCAGUAAUACUGAUCAGCAAAAUGAGUUACCACAGGGAUAACAGCAUAAUUCUUCUUGAGAGUCCAUAUCGAAAGAAGAGAUUGUGACCUCGAUGUUGGACUAGGGUAACUAGAAGGUGCAGCCGCUUUCUUGUUUGGUCUGUUCGACCAAUAAUUCCCU